Molecule: transfer RNA, 71 nt
Filed under: Catara rugosicollis
Lineage: Eukaryota; Metazoa; Arthropoda; Insecta; Blattodea; Blattidae
Description: tRNA-Val
Source: RNAcentral
CAGGUUAAAUCUUUAUAGAUAAGAAAUUCAUUUACACUGAGGAGUUUUCCGUGCAAUUCGGUAUAAUCUGA